GCGAUUACUAGCAAUUCCAGCUUCACGCAGGCGGGUUGCAGCCUGCGAUCCGAACUGAGACCAUUUUUAGGGAUUGGCUCCACCUCGCGGUAUUGCGACCCUCUGUUGAUGGCCAUUGUAUUACGUGUGUAGCCCAGGUCAUAAGGGGCAUGAUGAUUUGACGUCAUCCCCACCUUCCUCCACCUUGUCGGUAGCGGUCCCAUUAGAGUGCUCUCGCGUAGCAACUAAUGGCAAGGGUUGCGCUCGUUGCGGGACUUAACCCAACAUCUCACGACACGAGCUGACGACAACCAUGCACCACCUGUCAUCCUGUCCCGAAGGACUUCACCUAUCUCUAGGUUAUGCAGGAGAUGUCAAGACCUGGUAAGGUUCUUCGCGUUGCUUCGAAUUAAACCACAUAAUCCACUGCUUGUGCGGGCCCCCGUCAAUUCCUUUGAGUUUCAGCCUUGCGGCCGUACUCCCCAGGUGGAUUACUUAUUGCGUUAACUGCGGCACGGAAGGGGUCAGACCCCCCACACCUAGUAAUCAUCGUUUACGGCGUGGACUACCAGGGUAUCUAAUCCUGUUUGCUCCCCACGCUUUCGGGCCUCAGCGUCAGUUAGAGCC
This 606-nucleotide ribosomal RNA is filed under the name uncultured bacterium. Its description in RNAcentral is "partial 16S ribosomal RNA". The record is from RNAcentral.